CAAGGGAUAGUUUAUUUAAAAUAUUAGUUUUGGGAAUUGAAGAUAGGAAGUAUUUCCUUCCCUUGA
RNAcentral lists this transfer RNA (66 nucleotides) under Dictyosquilla foveolata. RNAcentral describes it as "tRNA-Pro". The record is from RNAcentral. Lineage: Eukaryota; Metazoa; Arthropoda; Malacostraca; Stomatopoda; Squillidae.